This is a long non-coding RNA of Brienomyrus brachyistius, 584 nucleotides long. RefSeq lists it as uncharacterized. The transcript is spliced from 4 exons. The record is from RefSeq and is a predicted model, not a curated record. Lineage: Eukaryota; Metazoa; Chordata; Actinopteri; Osteoglossiformes; Mormyridae.
UGCACUCCUCUCUAUUCUAACGUUUUUGGUGCAAAACUGAUAUCUUUCUUUUCUCUACACGUCUCCACCAGGCUGCUGUAAGAUCAUCCCUGGGUGCAUCAAAAAUGUGGACCACUGCCUGCAAGGGAGCGGAAAUUGACUGGAACCCUGUCAUAAGCAAAAGCUGUACCUCAUAAAAUUGUUUAAAAUCAAUAUUUCUAAUCAAAUAGUUUAAUUUUUCUAUUUUACCUUUUUACCACAUAAAGAACAAUUAGGGCUUAAAAUUUCAAUUCACAAGGUAAAACACCAAAUAAAGUGUUUUAACAGAAUAUUUCAUGUAAUUUCAAGGUCACAGCAGAGUUGCCCUGUAGCCUCGUCGGCAAAGAGCAGGAAAUUCUGAAAAAAGCCUUAAAAAUGCUCCGAAACAGGAGGGAGGACCUCCGAAGGUCAGGAAAGAAGAGAGAAGGACUUCAGCUUCACUCCAACGACGUGUAAGACUAAUGAAAAAAGGUGGGAGAACAGUGGCCCUUGGAGAAAGAACAGAAGCACUUGAGGUUUGCCUCCAGGACAUCACACCUCCUAUUAAGCACCGUUACAAAGUAAUU